RNAcentral lists this ribosomal RNA (492 nucleotides) under uncultured bacterium. Its description in RNAcentral is "partial 16S ribosomal RNA". It matches the Rfam family "Bacterial small subunit ribosomal RNA", at positions 29 to 507 of the family's 1533-position model. The record is from RNAcentral.
AGUGAACGCUGGCGGUAGGCCUAACACAUGCAAGUCGAACGGCAGCACAGUAAGAGCUUGCUCUUACGGGUGGCGAGUGGCGGACGGGUGAGGAAUACAUCGGAAUCUACUUUUUCGUGGGGGAUAACGUAGGGAAACUUACGCUAAUACCGCAUACGACCUACGGGUGAAAGCAGGGGAUCUUCGGACCUUGCGCGAUUGAAUGAGCCGAUGUCGGAUUAGCUAGUUGGCGGGGUAAAGGCCCACCAAGGCGACGAUCCGUAGCUGGUCUGAGAGGAUGAUCAGCCAGCUUGGAUCUGAGACACGGUCCAGACUCCUGCGCGAGGACGCAGUGGGGAAUAUUGGACGAAGGGGGCAAGCCUGAUACAGCCAUACCGCGUGGGGGAUGAAGGCGUUCGGGUUGUAAAGCCAUUUUGUUGGGAAAGAAAAGCAGCAGGUUAAUACCCCGCGGUACUGACGGUACCCAAAGAAUAAGCACCGGCUAACUUCGUG